AUUUUAUUAAUAUUUCAAAAUUUGACUGCAUUUUUGAUCAAAUAAAUACAGCCUUGGUGUGCAUGAAAGACUGCUUUAAAAACAUAAAAAAAAAAAAAAAAAAAUCAACCCCAAACCCUUUUGUUUGUUUCUGAGUCAUGAAAAGUCAUGACAGGCUGUAAAUAAUAUUUUCUUUUCAGUAACUUUGCCUGCAUUAGGAUGAUGAUAUCAAUGAUUUAAUUUCAGGCGUAAUCACUGGAUGUACUUUCAAUUAAAAGGGGCUACGUGGUUCAGCAAAUUGCACAAAUGUUCACUUUGUAGUACAAUGAGAAGUAUUCAUUAAUAAGUAGCAUGACACGACACCUGAUUCGUCCGUAGUAAAAGGUGGAAAUGGACAUUGUAUCACUGUCUGACAUCAAGACAGAAAAAUAUUCUUUAAGCUCAAGUGCUGUUUAAGACUGAUAUGAAAGCACAUAUGCAGGGUACAGAGAUAGUGUAGUCAUUAAAUUAAUGCAGAUGGGAACAUCCUACAGGUCAAAGGUUACACUCAAAAAAAUGCUGGGUUGUUUCUGUAAACAAAUUGUUGGGUUGAUUGUGCUGGGUCAAAAAGUUGGGUUGUUUGGGGUACUGUAAACACAUUAUUGGGUUGCUCAUGCUGGGUAAAAUGAUUUGUAACGGGGUCAUUCACAAAUAAACAGUUGGUUUGGUUAUUUUGACCCAGCAACUGGUUUAUUACUUCAUUCUUUGCGGAACUUUCUGGAUUCUUCACUUCUGACUGGAGGGGGCACGCACUCGGAGCGCGCAUUGUUUUAUGCUGCUAAAGAGGAGACAGCUUUGAAGGUCCUGCCAACUCUGCUUCCCCCAUCCAUCUACAGGAGAGGAGGAAAGGUCUUCAGACCCACCACAGAGGAGGCCCAGAAGUCAUUUAUUGACAUGCAACCUGUUGGGACCAUGAGAUGACUGGAGCAUUGCU
This 952-nucleotide long non-coding RNA is filed under the name Carassius auratus (goldfish). RNAcentral describes it as "lncRNA (ENSCARG00000024277.1)". The record is from RNAcentral. Lineage: Eukaryota; Metazoa; Chordata; Actinopteri; Cypriniformes; Cyprinidae.